UACGGUGGCCAUGCCGGCGGGGAUCACCCGUUCCCAUUCCGAACACGGAAGUUAAACCCGCCAGGGCCGAUGGUACUGCCCGGGAAACUGGGUGGGAGAGUAGGACGCCGCCGAUA
RNAcentral lists this ribosomal RNA (116 nucleotides) under Actinomycetota bacterium. The record is from RNAcentral. Lineage: Bacteria; Bacillati; Actinomycetota.